RNAcentral lists this long non-coding RNA (1927 nucleotides) under Lactuca sativa (garden lettuce). RNAcentral's name for it is "long non-coding RNA (LSAT_LNC009960)". The record is from RNAcentral. Lineage: Eukaryota; Viridiplantae; Streptophyta; Magnoliopsida; Asterales; Asteraceae.
GUUAAUCCCGAUAUCUAGGCCAAAUAUCUCUCCAUUCCGGGUCAUCUUCUCUUAUAUCUCUCUUUCGGCUGAUUUAAAGAAUUGUAACCCUCAUUCUUUUCCCUAUCUCUCUUCAGCAACUCCAUAACAAUCGACCACCACGAACAGAAAAAACACCAUCAAAACCACCACUUAUUGCCAUCGGUAAACCUUAUUUUGGUCACCUGUCAGAUUUUCUCAACUUCUUUAUGCCUCUUUUGAAACAAAGGUAUGCAGAGUUUGUUAUCAAGUUCAAAUAUGUUGCAGAUUCCAUUUUUGUGCAUUUGUUUGUGAUUUUUGUUGCUUGAUUCUUUCACCUUUUUUACAAGCUCUAAAUGAAAAUCUGUAUUAUUUUGAUUUUUCAAUCCAGAGCAGGAAUGGUUCAAAUCGAGCACCAGGUUUGAUCUUUUUACUUUCUUUAUUAUUGUUGUUAUCUAAUUUCCCAGGUUUGAUUUUAUUUAUCAUCACUUUUGUCAAUUGCUUUUACCCCCACACUCACCACCUUCUAUUUCUCUUACGCUUCCUCUAUUUAAGAAAAACCCUAAAACGUCACGCACCACCAUUUACCAUUGUCAUCCUCACCUUUUCGCACUUAGGCUUCUCCCCAACGUUUCUGGCCCCAUAGAUUCAUUUUGAUUUUAACACGAUUUGAAAGAAAUAAUUUUUUUUGUCAAUAUGGUUCCAAUACAAGUGCUAUACUUGAAUUUUCUUCGUUUAAUUAAAUCCUUCUAUGUCAGUGUUAAGAUAUAUCAAAGAAGCUUUAUUUUUUAAUUAGUAGUAUUGGGGAUAAGUGGAUUGUUUUUUUUUUUAAUUUUUUUUCAAUGGGGCUAAAUGUUUAGUUGAAUCAAAGACGAUCAAUCAAGUGUGAUAAUGUAUAAUUAUAACCCUUUUCCUUUCCUUCUUUCUGCUUGCUAAUUUUUUAAUAGUUCGAUAGAUGAAUGUUAUAUAUCUGACCUUUUAGUGGCAGUUCAUGAAGCUUUAUCAAUAUGUAUCCAUGGUGGAGUGAUUUGGAUGUCAACAUGUUAACCAUGGGCUUUUUGAAUUUCACUUUUAGGUCGGAGAAUAUAAAGGGACAUUGAACAUAUGGAGUUGUGGUUUUAUGAAGGGUAAAUUUGUCAUUUUUUGGUCUAUUAGGCUACUAGCUAUCUAGAGAGAAUUAUACUACUUUAUCUGUCAAAGCAAUUUCAGUAACAGCCUACCCAAUUUAGUCCAUAUGUUAAGGAUUUGAAUUCUGAUCUACUAAAGUUUGCUUCAACUUUCAUAUUCACAUAUUCAUAUUUGUCCAUGAAGUAGUUACUGUAGAAAAUUUUGAUCAUGUAGUAGCUACUACAGAAAAGUUUGAUGAAGUUGUUCUGAAAUCAAUUUGGUAAGGUCCUUUUCUUUCUUUAUUUUAAUUGCUUUUGAACCUAAUGUACAUUUUCUUUUGUAAAACAUUCAAUUUUAAAACAUGUUUUUUUUAUGUUUUUUUACAUGUUAAUGACAAUUGAGCAAACUGAAAAUAUAAGAAGGUAUAUUUGUGGCAAAAGGUGAUGAUAAAGAAGUAGUUCUCAGUGAUUUCAGUUUCUACAACUUUAGUGUUUGAUGACUUAAUGCCCAUGUUUAUGAUUUAUUUACUAAAUGUGAUUUUAAUGUUAAUUAUUGGAAAUUGGAAUAUAGAUAUGAUGUUGUGGAAGAAGAAACCAUGUCCAUUAUGCCCUCAAAGAAUAGUCCAGCCACCAUAGUUAAAGGUCAAAUGAACCUCAAGGCAUUCUUUCUUGCUCCUCCAAUGAAUCAUAAAUACCAGCAUUAUUUGUUAAAAAUUACUAAAGUUUCAUUUUUUUAACGUAUUAACUAAUUUUCAUAUUAACUUAACAAUAAUAUUUAUUUUAGACAAUGUAUUAAGUAGGAAUUUACAAAAUAAACAUUAAGC